AGUGAAGGGAGUAGGGGCUAGGGAGUAGGGUGUAGGGAGCAGUGUAGGGAGUAAGGUGUCGGGGCUAUAAAGUAGGGUGUAGGGGCUAGGGUGUAGGGGGUAGGGGCUAGGGAGUAGGGGCUAGGGAGUAGGGUGUCGGGGCUAGAGAGUAGGGUGUAGGGGCUAGGGUGUAGGGAGUAGGGUGUAAGGAGUAGGGUGUAGGGCUAGGGUGUAGGGUGUAAGGAGUAGGGUGUAGGGCCUAGGGUGUAGGGUGUCGGGGCUAGGGUGUAGGGAGUAGAGGGGAUGGGUGUGCUGUAGGUCUGCCAGGACAGUAUAUAUAUAUAUAUAUUAAUAUGUAUGUUCAUCUACAUUAAUUUUUAUUUACAUAUACAAUAUCAGUACAUACUGAAUAUCACACAGAAGACAACCAGAGAUGCUCGAUGGAUGGAGAGAUGGAUGGAGAGAUGGAUGGAGGGAUGGAUGGAGAGAUGGAUGGAGAGAUGGAUGGAGGGAUGGAUGGAGAGAUGGAUGGAGAGAUG
This is a long non-coding RNA of Oncorhynchus keta (chum salmon), 518 nucleotides long. RefSeq lists it as uncharacterized. Lineage: Eukaryota; Metazoa; Chordata; Actinopteri; Salmoniformes; Salmonidae. The transcript has 2 exons. The record is from RefSeq and is a predicted model, not a curated record.